RNAcentral lists this ribosomal RNA (366 nucleotides) under uncultured bacterium. RNAcentral describes it as "bacterial SSU rRNA". It matches the Rfam family "Bacterial small subunit ribosomal RNA", at positions 369 to 725 of the family's 1533-position model. The record is from RNAcentral.
CAAUGGGCGAAAGCCUGACCGAGCGACGCCGCGUGCAGGACGAAGGCCUUCGGGUUGUAAAAUGCUUUCGACAGGGAUGAACGGUAGGGGUGUGAAUAGCGUUCCUAUUUGACAGUACCUGGAGAAGAAGCCACGGCUAACUCCCUGCCAGCAGCCGCGGUUAUACGGAGGGGGCAAGCGUUGUUUGGAUUUAUUGGGCGUAAAGCGCGUGUAGGCGGUACGGUAAGUCGGAUGUUAAAGACCCACGGCGCACCCGGGGGAGUGCGGUCGAUACGGCCGUGCUAGAGGACAGGUGAGGAAAGUGGAAUUCCUGGAGGAGUGGUGAAAUGGGUAGAUAUAAGGAGGAACACCGGUGGCGAAGGCGGC